UACGGAGGGUGCGAGCGUUGUUCGGAAUUAUUGGGCGUAAAGCGCACGUAGGCGGCCAACUAAGUCGGGUGUGAAAGCCCCCGGCUCAACCGAGGAAUUGCUCCCGAUACUGGUUGGCUCGAGGAUGGUAGGGGUGAGUGGAACUCCAGGUGGAGCGGUGAAAUGCGUAGAUAUCUGGAGGAACACCGGUGGCGAAAGCGGCUCACUGGAUCAUCACUGACGCUGAGGUGCGAAAGCCAGGGUAGCGAACGGG
Molecule: ribosomal RNA, 253 nt
Filed under: uncultured bacterium
Lineage: Bacteria
Description: partial 16S ribosomal RNA
Rfam family: Bacterial small subunit ribosomal RNA
Source: RNAcentral